This 254-nucleotide ribosomal RNA is filed under the name uncultured bacterium. RNAcentral describes it as "partial 16S ribosomal RNA". It matches the Rfam family "Bacterial small subunit ribosomal RNA", at positions 524 to 776 of the family's 1533-position model. The record is from RNAcentral.
UACAGAGGGCGCGAGCGUUGUUCGGAAUCACUGGGCGUAAAGCGCGCGCAGGCGGACCAGGCAAGUCUGGAGUGAAAUCUCGCCGCUCAACGGCGAGGCUGCUUUGGAAACUGCGGGUCUGGAGACCGGUAGAGGCUGGUAGAAUUGCAGGUGUAGCGGUGGAAUGCGUAGAGAUCUGCAAGAAUACCCGUGGCGAAGGCGGCCAGCUGGGCCGGUUCUGACGCUGAGGCGCGAAAGCGUGGGGAGCAAACAGG